RNAcentral lists this ribosomal RNA (254 nucleotides) under uncultured bacterium. RNAcentral's name for it is "partial 16S ribosomal RNA". It matches the Rfam family "Bacterial small subunit ribosomal RNA", at positions 524 to 776 of the family's 1533-position model. The record is from RNAcentral.
CACGUAGGGUGCGAGCGUUGCCCGGAAUUAUUGGGCGUAAAGAGCUCGUAGGCGGUGUGUCGCGUCGGCCGUGAAAACCUGCAGCUUAACUGUGGGCGUGCGGUCGAUACGGGCAUCACUGGAGUUCGGCAGGGGAGACUGGAAUUCCUGGUGUAGCGGUGAAAUGCGCAGAUAUCAGGAGGAACACCGGUGGCGAAGGCGGAUCUCUGGGCCAUUACUGACGCUGAGGAGCGAAAGCGUGGGGAGCGAACAGG